Molecule: unclassified non-coding RNA, 363 nt
Filed under: uncultured bacterium
Lineage: Bacteria
Description: contains 16S-23S intergenic spacer region
Source: RNAcentral
UCCCCGUUGCCGGGGCAGUUUGAUUAGAAAAAUACAACUAAUCACAAGGGUUGCGCUCGUUGAUGGACUUAACCAAACAUCUCACGACACGAGCUGACGACGGCCAUGCAUCACCUGUCACCAAGUUCAAUAAAGCACUCUCGUCUUUCGACAAAAUUCUUGGGAUGUCAAACCCUGGUAAGGUUUAUCGUUUAUCCUCGAAUUAAAGAACACAAUCCACCGCUUGUGCGGGUCCCCGUCAAUUCCUUUAUGUUUUAGUCUUGCGGCCGUACUCCCCAGGCGGGGCACUUAAUGCGUUAGCGCCGGCACCCAGGGGGUCGCUCCCCCAGGCACCUAGUGCCCAUCGUUUACGGCGUGGACUAC